Molecule: ribosomal RNA, 507 nt
Filed under: uncultured bacterium
Lineage: Bacteria
Description: bacterial SSU rRNA
Rfam family: Bacterial small subunit ribosomal RNA
Source: RNAcentral
AGAGUUUGAUUCUGGCUCAGGAGAAACGCUGGCGGCGCACAUAAGACAUGCAAGUCGAACGGAAUUUAGUCAAAUGUUUACCAUGAGACGAAAAUUUAGUGGCGGACGGGUGAGUAACACGUGAGCAACCUACCUUCAGGAGGGGGAUAACAUUGAGAAAUCAGUGCUAAUACCGCAUAAUACUACGAGAAGACAUCUUCAUGUAGUCAAAGGAGUAAUCCGCCUAAAGAUGGGCUCGCGGCUGAUUAGCCAGUUGGUGGGGUAACGGCCUACCAAAGCGAUGAUCAGUAGCCGAGCUGAGAGGCACAACGGCCACAUUGGGACUGAGACACGGCCCAGACUCCUACGGGAGGCAGCAGUCGGGAAUAUUGCACAAUGGAGGAGACUCUGAUGCAGUGACGCCGCGUAUAGGAAGAAGGUCUUUGGAUUGUAAGCUAUUGUCGACAGGGAAGAAAAAAUGACAGUACCUGUGGAGGAAGCUCCGGCUAACUACGUGCCAGCCGCCGC